CCUACGGGAGGCAGCAGUGGGGAAUAUUGCACAAUGGGGGAAACCCUGAUGCAGCGACGCCGCGUGAGGGAAGAAGUAUUUCAGUAUGUAAAGCUCUAUCAGCAGGGAAGAAGAAAGACGGUACCUGACUAAAAAGCCCCGGCUAACUACGUGCCAGCAGCCGCGGUAAUACGUAGGGGGCAAGCGUUAUCCGGAUUUACUGGGCGUAAAGGGAGCGUAGACGGCGGUGCAAGUCUGAAGUGAAAGCCCAGGGCUCAACCCUGGGACUGCCUUGGAAACUGUGGAGCUAGAGUGCUGGAGAGGUAAGUGGAAUUCCUAGUGUAGCGGUGAAAUGCGUAGAUAUUAGGAGGAACACCAGUGGCGAAGGCGACUUACUGGACAGUAACUGACGUUGAGGCUCGAAAGCGUGGGGAGCAAACAGGAUUAGAUACCCGAGUAGUC
This 441-nucleotide ribosomal RNA is filed under the name uncultured bacterium. Its description in RNAcentral is "partial 16S ribosomal RNA". It matches the Rfam family "Bacterial small subunit ribosomal RNA", at positions 338 to 795 of the family's 1533-position model. The record is from RNAcentral.